UCUGGAAUAGUAAGGUGACCAAACGUCCUCCUUUAGGGAGGACAGUCCUUUUGUACGUUCUGUCCUCUCUUGAAAAGUGUCCUCCUACAUGUCCUCCUUUUCGAUAUUUGAAGACUAAUCUGUAAAUCUCCGUAUUCGAUUGAUGCCGAUCUGAUCCGUUGCAUGUGAUGUGACAUAUUUGUAUUUGACAUGACGAUUCGUCAAGGCUCGGUACAUUGUGGCGAGACGCGAUUAUGAGACACAUGCGCUCCGCACAGGAGAAUUGUUUUGAGAGAGUGUGCCAUGCUCAAGAGUGCGCCACGCACAAGUGGUUUUGUUUACUUCUUACCGAAACACGACAUGGCACACACGCACGCAUUAGACUCACUUCUUUCUCAGUGAAUAUUCAAUCAUACACAGGAAGACAUUACUUGUCUAAAUUGUAUCAGGGACUGAAGACUCAUAUGUUGGAAUUGCAAGCAAGAAGAAGAAAAUAAUAAUGGAGAUACUCACAGAGACAAUUUCAGGCACAAAUGCCAUGACUUCUUGGAUUCCGACGCGCAUCUUCCAGGCAGAGCAAGUGAGAGUGCUGGUUGAUGUAUCACAUAAAUCAUAUUAUACAAAUCUCCCUGGGGUUCUUCUAUCGCUCUUGCUGGCAGCAGGAGUCAAACAGACAGAAUUCAGCAGCAUGUACCUGCCCCGCUGCUCUUUCUUGGAUAAGCCAAAAUUCUUCACUAAUUUGGUUUCUUGCUGCCAUUAUCUUGGAACAGGUAAAAAAGGUCAAUUUCUGACAAACAGCAUCUGUCUUUCUUGAACAUAAAAAAAGCAGCACUCA
This is a long non-coding RNA of Pantherophis guttatus, 814 nucleotides long. RefSeq lists it as uncharacterized. Lineage: Eukaryota; Metazoa; Chordata; Lepidosauria; Squamata; Colubridae. The record is from RefSeq and is a predicted model, not a curated record.